CACGUAGGGGGCAAGCGUUGUUCGGAAUUAUUGGGCGUAAAGGGCAUGUAGGCGGUUUUGUAAGCCUGGUGUGAAAUCCUGCAGCUUAACUGUAGAAUUGCAUCGGGUACUGCAAGACUUGAAUCACAGAGGGGAAACUAGAAUUCCAGGUGUAGGGGUGGAAUCAGUAGAUAUCUGGAAGAAUACCGGUGGCGAAGGCGGGUUUCUAGCUGAUGAUUGACGCUGAGGUGCGAAAGUGCGGGGAGCAAACAGG
This 253-nucleotide ribosomal RNA is filed under the name uncultured bacterium. RNAcentral describes it as "partial 16S ribosomal RNA". It matches the Rfam family "Bacterial small subunit ribosomal RNA", at positions 524 to 776 of the family's 1533-position model. The record is from RNAcentral.